CUCAGAUUUGCUUAAUUGCACCACAUGUGUUUUUCUUUGAAACAAACUUGCUUUGGCGGUGGGCCCAGCCUGCCGCCAGAGGUCUAAACUUACAACCAAUUUUUUAUCAACUUGUCACACCAGAUUAUUACUAAUAGUCAAAACUUUCAACAACGGAUCUCUUGGUUCUCGCAUCGAUGAAGAACGCAGCGAAAUGCGAUACGUAAUAUGAAUUGCAGAUAUUCGUGAAUCAUCGAAUCUUUGAACGCACAUUGCGCCCUCUGGUAUUCCGGAGGGCAUGCCUGUUUGAGCGUCGUUUCUCCCUCAAACCGCUGGGUUUGGUGUUGAGCAAUACGACUUGGGUUUGCUUGAAAGACGGUAGUGGUAAGGCGGGAUCGCUUUGACAAUGGCUUAGGUCUAACCAAAAACAUUGCUUGCGGCGGUAACGUCUACCACGUAUAUCUUCAAACUUUGACCUCAAAUCAGGUAGGACUACCCGCUGAACUUAAGCAUAUCAAUAAGCGGAGGAA
RNAcentral lists this ribosomal RNA (509 nucleotides) under Candida albicans. RNAcentral's name for it is "eukaryotic LSU rRNA". The stretch from base 142 to 295 matches the Rfam family "5.8S ribosomal RNA". Lineage: Eukaryota; Fungi; Ascomycota; Pichiomycetes; Serinales; Debaryomycetaceae. The record is from RNAcentral.